This 773-nucleotide ribosomal RNA is filed under the name uncultured bacterium. RNAcentral describes it as "bacterial SSU rRNA". The stretch from base 1 to 432 matches the Rfam family "Bacterial small subunit ribosomal RNA", at positions 338 to 873 of the family's 1533-position model. The record is from RNAcentral.
CCUACGGGAGGCAGCAGUGGGGAAUUUUGGACAAUGGGCGCAAGCCUGAUCCAGCCAUGCCGCGUGUGGGAAGAAGGCCUUCGGGUUGUAAACCACUUUUGUCAGGGAAGAAACGGCUUUUCUAAUACAGAGAGCUAAUGACGGUACCUGAAGAAUAAGCACCGGCUAACUACGUGCCAGCAGCCGCGGUAAUACGUAGGGUGCAAGCGUUAAUCGGAAUUACUGGGCGUAAAGCGUGCGCAGGCGGCUUUGCAAGACAGAUGUGAAAUCCCCGGGCUCAACCUGGGAACUGCAUUUGUGACUGCAUGGCUAGAGUACGGUAGAGGGGGGAUGGAAUUCCGCGUGUAGCAGUGAAAUGCGUAGAUAUGCGGAGGAACACCGAUGGCGAAGGCAAUCCCCUGGACCUGUACUGACGCUCAUGCACGAAACGACGGUGGGGUAGGACGAACGAACGGAGUAGUAUACCCUACGGUACGUACCGACCGACCCGUAAACCGAACUAGUCAACUAGGUUGGUUGGUACGGGUCGUUCGUCGUUGUUCGUACGUAACGGUAAACGACGUAACCGGUACCGGUGGUAAGGUUUACGGUACCCGGUCCCGGUUCCGGGGGUACGGGGUUAACCGGGGUUCCCGGGGCCGGUAACGGGGUUUACGGGUUAAAACCGGUUUAAAAACGGGUUAAAAGGUUUAGGUUACCGGGUCCGGUUACGGUUAGGACGUUACGGUUACCGGAACCGGGACCGGACCGAACCGGAACGGGGGUUAACGGGG